CCCCGGUCUGAAAGAAGGAGAAAAGGGCCAUCAUUGGAGGGGCUUUCACAGCCAAAACGUGGACCAGCCCGGCAAGGUCAAAGGUUCGAGACCGCGGGAGACCAAGGUCUCCAGAUGGCUGAAACAUGAAUUGAAACAUCCUGGUUUUCUUGGGAAUAAACAAUCUCUGCUUAAGUCAGAAGUGAAAAGUUAUGAUUUUCCACAUAUUUGGAUCAGACUCAUGCUAUUCCAUAAAUGCAAAUAAUCAGCUUGGAAGAAGAGGGACUCUUAAAAAACAUUAGGGAUUUGAACACUAUAACCUGCCAUACAAAAGACGAAGGAGAGUUCUUCCAUGUAAGAAUUUCAAGACUGGAACAAAGUCGUAUUUUCUAAAUGUUUAAGGAACUAGAUUUCCAGGCCUUUCAAACAAUGGGAAUCCCUAGAUAAAUAUCUAAUCCAUUAGAAAGAUGCAAAUAGUUUACUGUAAGGCCACUGCACGGUGAGAUGUGCAUUCAUAUCUAUGGCUCCUGAUUGGCUAUUUCCUUCAGUAAAUCAAUGAAUAAUGUAAAACCUGAUUGCUGUAAAGUGGUGGAUUUUUUUAUUCCCUUCCCCCAUUCCUCCAUGACUCAAUAUAUUAAAGAAGUCUUACUCUCUCGAAAA
Long non-coding RNA from Leopardus geoffroyi (Geoffroy's cat), 639 nucleotides. RefSeq lists it as uncharacterized. The transcript is spliced from 3 exons. NCBI's taxonomy places the organism in Eukaryota, Metazoa, Chordata, Mammalia, Carnivora, Felidae. The record is from RefSeq and is a predicted model, not a curated record.